Molecule: long non-coding RNA, 1439 nt
Organism: Contarinia nasturtii (swede midge)
Lineage: Eukaryota; Metazoa; Arthropoda; Insecta; Diptera; Cecidomyiidae
Exons: 4
Source: RefSeq, a predicted model, not a curated record
CUAUAAAAUUCAAACGCAUUUUACCGUUGUCCAUCAUUUCUAAUAUAGUAUAUAGAAUGUGCAUUAUCAAAAUGUGUAUGUAUAUGAUUCGUUGUCAUGCACUAAAUGCAACAAUAAAGUGCAUUUUAUCCUUGAGCAUUACGCAUAUUCUUCGUCAAAGAUUUUUCCGAGUGCAGAAAAAAAACUCAGUGCAUUAUCGAUAAAUUGAGUGUUAAUAAUUGUUUCAAAUUUGUCAACAAAAACAAAAUAAACUCAAAAUGCAUAUCCACCAUCGCAGGAGGAAUAUCCGGGAUAUCCUACACAGCCCUCACAAAAUUAUCCAACUCAACAAGGCAUCCAACCUCACCUGGUGGUCAACUGUCCGCCAUCACAACAGGAAUAAUUUCUUCCACAAAACUUUGUGCCACCGCAAAUUUACCAACCAUAUUAUGAAUUAUACGGAACAAUUCCGCCACCACCACAGCAUUUUGAAGUGGCCAUUGAAAGUUCACAGCAACCAAAAGGAUUUUCAUUCAAUGACAAGACCAUUCGACGGAAUUUUAUUCGCAAAGUUUACAGUCUAUUAUCCAUUCAAUUGAUAAUUACAUUUGGUAUGGUAUUAUUGAUGAGCUUCCAUGAUGGCAUACAACGAUUUCUUUUUCGAAAUCCGUGGAUUCUCCUGGUCGGAUGCAUCAUUCUAUUUGUAUUGAUGACAGCAAUAAUUUGUUGUGAAUUUGUUGGUCGAAAAUAUCCGCUCAAUUUGAUACUAUUGGGAUUGAUCACAAUCGGCCAAGGCAUAUGCUUGGGUUUCAUAUCAACAAGAUAUGAUCCAGAAUUGGUUAUGUUUUUAGAAUUGGUUAUGUUAUGUCUCACCAAGUGUUUAACAUAAAUUCUAAAAAUAAUUUGAAAAAUUUGUUUUUAGAUUGUUAUUGCGAUGGGUAUGACUGCUGUGAUGGUCAUUGGACUGACGAUAUUUGCCGCACAAACAAAAUACGAUUUCACAAAAUUCUACGGUGUAAUUUGGAUUGCAAUUUUGAUGAUUAUUGUUGGCGCAAUUAUUUUCAUAUUUACGCGUAAUUAUAUUUUUGGACUGAUUUUAUAAUGCUUUUCCUUGCCGGUGAUCGCCGCUAUAUUGAUUCACGAUACGCAAAUGAUUAUUGGUGGCCAACAUAAAUAUCGAUUGAAUGAAGAGGACUACAUCUUUGGAACACUUGUACUGUAUGAGGAUAUCAUUCGCAUUUUCCGUUUUGUAUUGUACAUUCUCACCGCCAUUUCACACGACUAAAAAAUGUACAAAAGUUUAUUAAGCCAAUGAAAACUAUUUCCAAAAUAUACACAAACAUCUGUCUGAUAUAAAAGAAAUCAGUAUUCAUGUCUAUAUAAUGGUUUAUAUUAUCAAUUGAAAUGUGUCAAAUUUACAUUUAAAAAAAAUGUAAAAUAAAUUCCAUAGCUAUUUAUGU